GGACUGUAACUGACGUUGAGGCUCGAAAGUGUGGGUAGCAAACAGGAUUAGAUACCCUGGUAGUCCACACCGUAAACGAUGAGUGCUAGGUGUUUGAGGGUUUCCGCCCUUAAGUGCCGCAGCUAACGCAUUAAGCACUCCGCCUGGGGAGUACGACCGCAAGGUUGAAACUCAAAGGAAUUGACGGGGGCCCGCACAAGCGGUGGAGCAUGUGGUUUAAUUCGAAGCAACGCGAAGAACCUUACCAGGUCUUGACAUCCCUUGACAACUCCAGAGAUGGAGCGUUCCCUUCGGGGACAAGGUGACAGGUGGUGCAUGGUUGUCGUCAGCUCGUGUCGUGAGAUGUUGGGUUAAGUCCCGCAACGAGCGCAACCCUUAUUACUAGUUGCCAGCAUUCAGUUGGGCACUCUAGUGAGACUGCCGGUGACAAACCGGAGGAAGGUGGGGAUGACGUCAAAUCAUCAUGCCCCUUAUGACCUGGGCUACACACGUGCUACAAUGGCGUAUACAACGAGUUGCCAACCCGCGAGGGUGAGCUAAUCUCUUAAAGUACGUCUCAGUUCGGAUUGUAGGCUGCAACUCGCCUACAUGAAGUCGGAAUCGCUAGUAAUC
Molecule: ribosomal RNA, 612 nt
Filed under: uncultured bacterium
Lineage: Bacteria
Description: bacterial SSU rRNA
Rfam family: Bacterial small subunit ribosomal RNA
Source: RNAcentral